CGAUGCUCGUUGCGAGGCUGCUCAGCUAGAGGCUAUGCUCGUUGCAAGGUGGCUCGGUUUAUGGUAUUCCUCAUUGCAAGUAUCUACUUUAUGUCGACAUGCACUUUGUUUAUACCAUAUUUAGGGCCUCGUAUAAAUACUCGGGGGACUUAAAUGUAAUUAUGUAAUAAAGGAAUUGGCAAAUAUGUAAUUAGGGAAUGAGCCCUUAUUCUAUAAAAAGACCUUCUCACCUUUACAAACCCUAAGUCUCUCCCAUCUAGAGCAAAGCUCUCACUCUCUCUCCCUCACAAAUACUCUUAGAUAAAUAUAAUCAGUGUGGACGUAGCCCAAACCUUGGGGUAAACCACGAUACAUCUUGUGUUAUUUACAUUACUUGCAGAUUCACGGUCGGAUUUACGUUGUUCCAAGACCUUCGGUUUUGUGCAUCAACAUUUGGCACCGUCUGUGGGAAACGACACGAAAAGUUAUGUCGGUUCUCUCUCAAUUUUUCACCUCUGUCAUGAAUCUGCAAAAACCCACACAAAGACAUAGACACAGAGCUCUAUCUCUCUCUCAAACUUUGAAUUUACAAAGCUGUUGCCAUCUUUUCAGUUUGUGAUCUGAACCACUGCUAUGCCCAUAACAGAGGAUACUACCAUGACAGCCCACGAAGUUGAGGCCCAUAUCUGUGGAUG
RNAcentral lists this long non-coding RNA (674 nucleotides) under Malus domestica (apple). Its description in RNAcentral is "long non-coding RNA (MDOM_LNC007825)". The record is from RNAcentral. Lineage: Eukaryota; Viridiplantae; Streptophyta; Magnoliopsida; Rosales; Rosaceae.